UCCGGCUUGACGCCGGCAGUCCCCCGAGAGUCCUCAGCACGACCUGUUAGUAACACGGGGCAAGGGUUGCGCUCGUUGCGGGACUUAACCCAACAUCUCUGGAGCUGUCUACCGCAGUUCAAACCCAGGUAAGGUUCUUCGCGUUGCGUCGAAUUAAACCACAUGCUCCGCUGCUUGUGCGGGCCCCCGUCAAUUCCUUUGAGUUUUAGCCUUGCGGCCGUACUCCCCAGGCGGGGCGCUUAAUGCGUUAGCUUCGGCACGGACGGAGUCGACACCGCCCACACCUAGCGCCCAUCGUUUACGGCGUGGACUAC
This 314-nucleotide unclassified non-coding RNA is filed under the name uncultured bacterium. RNAcentral describes it as "contains 16S-23S intergenic spacer region". The record is from RNAcentral.